CCUACGGGAGGCAGCAGUGAGGAAUAUUGGUCAAUGGCCGAGAGGCUGAACCAGCCAAGUCGCGUGAGGGAAGAAUGUCCUAUGGAUUGUAAACCUCUUUUGUCAGGGAGCAAAGUCACCCAUGUGUGGGUGUUGGCGUGUACCUGAUGAAAAAACAUCGGCUAACUCCGUGCCAGCAGCCGCGGUAAUACGGAGGAUGCGAGCGUUAUCCGGAUUUAUUGGGUUUAAAGGGUGCGUAGGCGGGUUUUUAAGUCAGCUGUGAAAUUGUGGCGCUCAACUCCAAACCAGCGGUUGAAACUGGUGAUCUUGAGUGGAGUAGAGGUAGGCGGAAUGCGUGGUGUAGCGGUGAAAUGCAUAGAUAUCACGAAGAACUCCGAUUGCGAAGGCAGCAUACCGGCGCCCGACUGACGCUGAGGCUCGAAAGCGUGGGUAUCAAACAGGAUUAGAUACCCGGGUAGUC
Molecule: ribosomal RNA, 460 nt
Filed under: uncultured bacterium
Lineage: Bacteria
Description: partial 16S ribosomal RNA
Rfam family: Bacterial small subunit ribosomal RNA
Source: RNAcentral